UUAAGUCCGGUAACGAGCGCAACCCUUGCUGUAUGUUACAUGUGUCAUACGGGACUGCCGGUAUCAAGCGGAGGAGUGGGGAUGACGUCAAGUCAGCAUGGCCUUUAUGUCUGGGGCUACACACACGCUACAAUGGCCAGUACAAUAGGUUGCAAAGCCGCGAGGUGGAGCCAAUCCUUAAAGCUGGUCUCAGUUCGGAUUGCAGGCUGCAACUCGCCUGCAUGAAGUCGGAGUUGCUAGUAACCGCGCGUCAGCUAUAGUGCGGUGAAUACGUUCCCGGGCCUU
Molecule: ribosomal RNA, 285 nt
Filed under: uncultured Anaerolineaceae bacterium
Lineage: Bacteria; Bacillati; Chloroflexota; Anaerolineae; Anaerolineales; Anaerolineaceae
Description: partial 16S ribosomal RNA
Rfam family: Bacterial small subunit ribosomal RNA
Source: RNAcentral